Long non-coding RNA from Nerophis ophidion (straightnose pipefish), 295 nucleotides. RefSeq lists it as uncharacterized. Lineage: Eukaryota; Metazoa; Chordata; Actinopteri; Syngnathiformes; Syngnathidae. The transcript is spliced from 3 exons. The record is from RefSeq and is a predicted model, not a curated record.
AGACAUCGAAACCAGCAGAGAUGCUAACCACAUAUUGUGUGUAUGUGCAUUCCGAUCACUCAUUGCAGCUACCAGUAAAGAACCACAUCAUCCAAACCAGCCUGUGUGUGGAUUCUUGACGGGACAGGUCGGCGAAUCAUGAGUCAGUCAGUAACAGCUUCCCCGGCGGCAGAUCUCGCUGUGUGUCAGUUGGCGAACGACACAAGCCCUCAGCACCCAAUGAACGACGCGCAAAGUGACUGAACGAGAUCCUCAAUGGGACGUCAUUCUCCGCGACACAGUCACUUCCCUGCGU